Molecule: ribosomal RNA, 774 nt
Filed under: uncultured Neocallimastigales
Lineage: Eukaryota; Fungi; Neocallimastigomycota; Neocallimastigomycetes; Neocallimastigales
Description: partial large subunit ribosomal RNA
Rfam family: Eukaryotic large subunit ribosomal RNA
Source: RNAcentral
UAUGUGAUCGUCUCUCGCAUAUCAAUAAGCGGAGGAAAAGAAACUAACAAGGAUUCCCCUAGUAACGGCGAGUGAAGCGGGAAGAGCUCAAAUUUGAAAUCUUAAAGGGUUUCCCUUUACGAAUUGUAGUUUAAAGAAGUGUUUUCUGUUGAGGUUUCGGUAAAAGUUCUUUGGAAUAGGACAUCAUAGAGGGUGAGAAUCCCGUAUUUGACCUUUACUUUCAACUUUGUGAUACACUUUCAAAGAGUCGGAUUGUUUGGGAAUGCAGUCCAAAAUGGGUGGUAAAUUUCAUCUAAAGCUAAAUAUUGGCGAGAGACCGAUAGCGAACAAGUACCGUGAGGGAAAGAUGAAAAGAACUUUGAAAAGAGAGUUAAACAGUACGUGAAAUUGUCAAAAGGGAAGCGUUUGACACCAGUGUUGUUAUUCUGAAAAUCAAUUAAAGAACUGUUUAUGCUAAGCUGUUUAGACUUUAUCAGCUAUCUGUUUAGUUUUGAGCUUUUCUUUAAUGCACUUUUCAGUUAACAAGUCAACAUCAAUUUCUUUUGCUGUAAAAAAGCUUGAGGAAGGUGGCUUGAGAUUCGUCUUAAGUGUUUAUAGCCUCUUGCCUAUGCAGUCGGAGAGAUUGAGGUCUGCAGCGUAGAUCCUUCGGGGCUAAAUGCAUUUGUGCUAAGUUAUAGCAUUUUAUAGACAACUUGUUGACUAUGAUUUGUCUUGUAGCUUACUCGCUUAUGUUAUUUUACCUACGCUUAGGAUGUUGAUCUACAGAGCGAGAGU